AAAAACAGGAGGUAGGUGCAGCGCCUAAAUAGUCCUCAUAGGGGUAUAUAAAAGGAAAGUUGGAGUUGUAUUAAAGAUCCAGAAAAGUGUGAGUGGCAAUUUUUUAUCUUAUUUACUCCAACCAAAGUUUUAAAUACUACACUAUUAAAUUUCCCUUUUUUCCUUUCAUAUACCCCUAUGAGGACUAUUUAGGCACUGCACCUACCUCCUGUUUUUU
Pelobates cultripes (western spadefoot toad) is the source of this 217-nucleotide non-coding RNA. The record is from the annotation of a GenBank genome assembly. NCBI's taxonomy places the organism in Eukaryota, Metazoa, Chordata, Amphibia, Anura, Pelobatidae.